RNAcentral lists this long non-coding RNA (859 nucleotides) under Triticum aestivum (bread wheat). RNAcentral describes it as "long non-coding RNA (TAES_LNC022135)". Lineage: Eukaryota; Viridiplantae; Streptophyta; Magnoliopsida; Poales; Poaceae. The record is from RNAcentral.
UUGUGCAUAAGUAAUUAGUUAACGCCUAGUUAUCUCAGGUCAGAUAUUUCCUUUUCUGAUUGCAAAUCAAUAGAGCGCACUAAACUUGACACAGGCAACAUUUCUCGGAGAUAACAUCAUACUACUAAGUUAAGCAAGAAGCGACAGAUCUCUAGAGCACAUUAAGAUAACUGAACAACAGCCUCUUCAGAAAAUGAAAAUAACUUGCCUAGAUUGACACUAACAAAGAACGGCACACGCGCCUGCAUGCGUGGAGAUAACAACUUCAGUGGGUCGAAAGAAGCAACAAGAGGUAGAUCGACAGAGACAACCCAACACACGCGACAUUUUCACGCGAUAACUCUAACUUAACUAGAUCGACCGGGGCGGCAAGCGGCAGAUGCGCGCGCAUGCAUGCAUGCAUGCUCUGCUCUCCCUUACAGCGCGAAGGCGGCGGCCGCCGCCGCGGCGCCGGCAGUGCGCAGUAUCUGAAAAUACAGCUGCGAAUUCGCCACGAAUGCCGCGCGGGAGAUGAAGAAGCCGGCCGCGCCUGGCGCCUUCAUCGUGGCGCCGGCGGCCACCGCCCCAGCAGGCCAGAGGAAGUAGAUGCCCACGGCAGCGCCGGCGACCACCGCCGCGGCUGCGGCGGCUUCCAGCGCGCCUUCGUGUGUGGUGAACACGUCCUUCGCCUUCUGCUUGAACGAGUCCAUCUCGGCAAGCGUGUUUCUUCUGUGGUGCAGUAGAUGUUGCCUUGCUGGUACUGUGCCGAUCUUGAUGGAGAAGGUCCUGUGUUAGCCAGAGGAAGGGAGCGGGUGGUUUAUAAAGACGGAGGUGUCGUGGUGAGCGAACGCACUUCGGCCUUGGAAGUUGGAAUACGCCG